This 253-nucleotide ribosomal RNA is filed under the name uncultured bacterium. RNAcentral's name for it is "partial 16S ribosomal RNA". It matches the Rfam family "Bacterial small subunit ribosomal RNA", at positions 524 to 776 of the family's 1533-position model. The record is from RNAcentral.
UACGUAGGGUGCGAGCGUUGUCCGGAAUUAUUGGGCGUAAAGAGCUUGUAGGCGGUUUGUCGCGUCUGCUGUGAAAAUCCGGGGCUCAACCCCGGACUUGCAGUGGGUACGGGCAGACUAGAGUGUGGUAGGGGAGACUGGAAUUCCUGGUGUAGCGGUGGAAUGCGCAGAUAUCAGGAGGAACACCGAUGGCGAAGGCAGGUCUAUGGGCCGCUACUGACGCUGAGAAGCGAAAGCAUGGGGAGCGAACAGG